UUAACCUGAUGAACAAUCCUAAGUCUUUCG
RNAcentral lists this non-coding RNA (30 nucleotides) under Cricetulus griseus (Chinese hamster). Lineage: Eukaryota; Metazoa; Chordata; Mammalia; Rodentia; Cricetidae. The record is from RNAcentral.